AUUGAACGCUGGCGGCAUGCCUUACACAUGCAAGUCGAACGGUAACAGGUCUUCGGAUGCUGACGAGUGGCGAACGGGUGAGUAAUACAUCGGAACGUGCCCAGACGUGGGGGAUAACGAGGCGAAAGCUUUGCUAAUACCGCAUACGAUCUAAGGAUGAAAGCAGGGGACCGCAAGGCCUUGUGCGUUUGGAGCAGCCGAUGGCAGAUUAGGUAGUUGGUGGGAUAAAAGCUUACCAAGCCGACGAUCUGUAGCUGGUCUGAGAGGACGACCAGCCACACUGGGACUGAGACACGGCCCAGACUCCUACGGGAGGCAGCAGUGGGGAAUUUUGGACAAUGGGCGAAAGCCUGAUCCAGCAAUGCCGCGUGCAGGAUGAAGGCCUUCGGGUUGUAAACUGCUUUUGUACGGAACGAAAAGGCUCUGGCUAAUACCUGGGGCACAUGACGGUACCGUAAGAAUAAGCACCGGCUAACUACGUG
This 482-nucleotide ribosomal RNA is filed under the name uncultured bacterium. RNAcentral's name for it is "partial 16S ribosomal RNA". It matches the Rfam family "Bacterial small subunit ribosomal RNA", at positions 30 to 507 of the family's 1533-position model. The record is from RNAcentral.